Molecule: long non-coding RNA, 350 nt
Filed under: Androctonus crassicauda
Lineage: Eukaryota; Metazoa; Arthropoda; Arachnida; Scorpiones; Buthidae
Source: RNAcentral
UGAUUUUCGAUUGAAAAAGAAACUGAAGAUUCUAGACUUUAUGAAGAGAUUUGGAAAGGUCUCAUUGAGUCUGUCUAUGGGUGGAUUUUAUUACAUUAACAAGAAAUUCCCUAUUAAGAUAGUCACAACUUUACAUUCCAUAUUUUCGGGACUCUUAAAAUUAAAAAAUAUUUCUCGAGACGCAAAAAAUCAAGAAAUAUUUUUGGCUAACGUAACGAAUCCAUGCUUGAAUUCCACAGUUCAAUAAUUCAUUAAGAAUUUUUUUUAUAUCAGAUUUAGUAGAAAUUAGUGAAUAUUUUGUAAGAAAAACGUACAUCAAUAUUUCUUUAACUGAUUCUGAGAAUAUUUGA